Molecule: ribosomal RNA, 497 nt
Filed under: uncultured bacterium
Lineage: Bacteria
Description: partial 16S ribosomal RNA
Rfam family: Bacterial small subunit ribosomal RNA
Source: RNAcentral
GAUGAACGCUGGCGGCGUGCCUAAUACAUGCAAGUCGAGCGAACGGACGAGAAGCUUGCUUCUCUGAUGUUAGCGGCGGAGGGGUGAGUAACACGUGGAUAACCUCCCUAUCAGACUGGGAUAACUUCGGGAACCCGUAGCUAAUACCGUAUAAUCUUUUGAACCGCAUGGUACAAAAGUGAAAGACGGUCGUGCUGGAUCUAAUAGAUGCAUCCGCGCUGCAUUGGCUAGUUGGUGAGGUAACGGCUUACCAAGGCAACGAUGCAUAGCCGAACUGAGAGAGUGAUCGGCCACACUAGAACUGAGACACGGUCCAGACUCCUAAGGGAGGCAGCAGUAGGGAAUCUUCCGCAAUGGGCGAAAGCCUGACGGAGCAACGCCGCGUGAGUUAUGAAGGUCUUCGGAUCGUAAAACUCUGUUAUUAGGGAAGAACAUAUGUGUAAGUAACUGUGCACAUCUUGACGGUACCUAAUCAGAAAGCCACGGCUAACUACGUG